GACGAACGCUGGCGGCGUGCUUAACACAUGCAAGUCGAACGGAAAGGCCCUGCUUUUGUGGGGUGCUCGAGUGGCGAACGGGUGAGUAACACGUGAGUAACCUGCCCUUGACUUUGGGAUAACUUCAGGAAACUGGGGCUAAUACCGGAUAGGAGCUCCUGCUGCAUGGUGGGGGUUGGAAAGUUUCGGCGGUUGGGGAUGGACUCGCGGCUUAUCAGCUUGUUGGUGGGGUAGUGGCUUACCAAGGCUUUGACGGGUAGCCGGCCUGAGAGGGUGACCGGCCACAUUGGGACUGAGAUACGGCCCAGACUCCUACGGGAGGCAGCAGUGGGGAAUAUUGCACAAUGGGCGGAAGCCUGAUGCAGCAACGCCGCGUGCGGGAUGACGGCCUUCGGGUUGUAAACCGUUUUCGCCUGUGACGAAGCGUGAGUGACGGUAAUGGGUAAAGAAGCACCGGCUAACUACGUG
RNAcentral lists this ribosomal RNA (468 nucleotides) under uncultured bacterium. RNAcentral describes it as "partial 16S ribosomal RNA". It matches the Rfam family "Bacterial small subunit ribosomal RNA", at positions 28 to 507 of the family's 1533-position model. The record is from RNAcentral.